AGUGAACGCUGGCGGUAGGCCUAACACAUGCAAGUCGAACGGCAGCACAGUAAGAGCUUGCUCUUACGGGUGGCGAGUGGCGGACGGGUGAGGAAUACAUCGGAAUCUACUUUUUCGUGGGGGAUAACGUAGGGAAACUUACGCUAAUACCGCAUACGACCUACGGGUGAAAGCAGGGGAUCUUCGGACCUUGCGCGAUUGAAUGAGCCGAUGUCGGAUUAGCUAGUUGGCGGGGUAAAGGCCCACCAAGGCGACGAUCCGUAGCUGGUCUGAGAGGAUGAUCAGCCACCCUGGAACUGAGCCACGCUCCAGACUCCUACGGGAGGCAGCAGUGGGGAUUAUUGGACAAUGGGCGCAAGCCUGAUCCAGCCAUACCGCGUGGGUGAAGAAGGCCUUCGGGUUGUAAAGCCCUUUUGUUGGGAAAGAAAAGCAGCAGGUUAAUACCCCGCUGUUCUGACGUUACCCAAAGAAUAAGCACCGGCUAACUUCGUG
RNAcentral lists this ribosomal RNA (492 nucleotides) under uncultured bacterium. RNAcentral describes it as "partial 16S ribosomal RNA". It matches the Rfam family "Bacterial small subunit ribosomal RNA", at positions 29 to 507 of the family's 1533-position model. The record is from RNAcentral.